RNAcentral lists this ribosomal RNA (324 nucleotides) under Triticum aestivum (bread wheat). RNAcentral's name for it is "partial small subunit ribosomal RNA". Lineage: Eukaryota; Viridiplantae; Streptophyta; Magnoliopsida; Poales; Poaceae. The record is from RNAcentral.
AUGCCAGGCAUCAAUACCCUUUUUGCAUUCAACCUGCAAUGGAAGCAAAGAAGACACAAUGCUAAUGUCAGGUUAACUGCAACAUCAACAAUCUGUAUACCAGGAUCUCGUAUGUGCUUACUAUUCAGUAUUCACAAUUCAAAACACUGGAGCUUCACUACUGAAUAUAUGUCAGUAUGUGAUGAUGCGUGCGAUUUUGUUGAACUUAGGGAUGCAAAGUGGCGUCCCACGUCAGCCCACUUCCUUCAGUUGAUAAAAAAACAACAAGAAGUCUGGCCCCUAUUUGCUGUAAUCAGUGCAUUUUAUACUGGUAGCUUAGUUUAG